GACAGCUCAGUUGGUAGAGCAUGAGGCUCUGAAUCUCAGGGUCGUGGGUUCAAGCCCCAUGUUGGGCA
Molecule: non-coding RNA, 68 nt
Organism: Podarcis lilfordi (Lilford's wall lizard)
Lineage: Eukaryota; Metazoa; Chordata; Lepidosauria; Squamata; Lacertidae
Source: the annotation of a GenBank genome assembly